RNAcentral lists this transfer RNA (68 nucleotides) under Munidopsis verrilli. RNAcentral describes it as "tRNA-Met". The record is from RNAcentral. Lineage: Eukaryota; Metazoa; Arthropoda; Malacostraca; Decapoda; Munidopsidae.
AAAAAGAUAAGCUAAAUAAAGCUAAUGGGUUCAUACCCCAGCUAUGAGAAUCACAUCUCUCUUUUUAC